RNAcentral lists this ribosomal RNA (750 nucleotides) under uncultured bacterium. RNAcentral describes it as "bacterial SSU rRNA". It matches the Rfam family "Bacterial small subunit ribosomal RNA", at positions 43 to 773 of the family's 1533-position model. The record is from RNAcentral.
CAGGCCUAACACAUGCAAGUCGAGCGCUUGGGGUGUUCCCUUACGGGAAACCCCCUGGAGCGGCGGACGGGUGAGUAACACGUAGGCAACCUGCCUGUAAGACCGGGAUAACUACCGGAAACGGUAGCUAAGACCGGAUAGCUGGUUUCUCCGCAUGGGGGAAUCAUGAAACACGGGGCAACCUGUGGCUUACGGAUGGGCCUGCGGCGCAUUAGCUAGUUGGUGGGGUAAUGGCCCACCAAGGCGACGAUGCGUAGCCGACCUGAGAGGGUGAUCGGCCACACUGGGACUGAGACACGGCCCAGACUCCUACGGGAGGCAGCAGUAGGGAAUCUUCCGCAAUGGGCGCAAGCCUGACGGAGCAACGCCGCGUGAGUGAUGAAGGUUUUCGGAUCGUAAAGCUCUGUUGCCAAGGAAGAACGCCUCGGAGAGUAACUGCUCUGAGGGUGACGGUACUUGAGAAGAAAGCCCCGGCUAACUACGUGCCAGCAGCCGCGGUAAUACGUAGGGGGCAAGCGUUGUCCGGAAUUAUUGGGCGUAAAGCGCGCGCAGGCGGUCUUUUAAGUUUGGUGUUUAAGCCCGGGGCUCAACCCCGGUUCGCACUGAAAACUGGGAGACUUGAGUGCAGGGGAGGAAAGCGGAAUUCCACGUGUAGCGGUGAAAUGCGUAGAGAUGUGGAGGAACACCAGUGGCGAAGGCGGCUUUCUGGACUGUAACUGACGCUGAGGCGCGAAAGCGUGGGGAGCAAAC